This 253-nucleotide ribosomal RNA is filed under the name uncultured bacterium. RNAcentral's name for it is "partial 16S ribosomal RNA". It matches the Rfam family "Bacterial small subunit ribosomal RNA", at positions 524 to 776 of the family's 1533-position model. The record is from RNAcentral.
UACGAAGGGUGCAAGCGUUCAUCGGAAUUACUGGGCGUAAAGCGUGCGUAGGCGGUCUUUUAAGUCCGUUGUGAAAGCCCUGGGCUCAACCUGGGAAUGGCAGUGGAUACUGGAAGGCUCGAGUGCGGUAGAGGAGGGUGGAAUUCCCGGUGUAGCGGUGAAAUGCGCAGAUAUCAGGAGGAACACCAAUGGCGAAGGCAGCUCGCUGGGACGUGACUGACGCUGAGACGCGAAAGCGUGGGGAGCAAACAGG